AUACGAAGGGGGCUAGCGUUGCUCGGAAUUACUGGGCGUAAAGGGAGCGUAGGCGGACAUUUAAGUCAGGGGUGAAAUCCCGGAGCUCAACUCCGGAACUGCCCUUGAUACUGGGUGUCUUGAGUGUGAGAGAGGUAUGUGGAACUCCGAGUGUAGAGGUGAAAUUCGUAGAUAUUCGGAAGAACACCAGUGGCGAAGGCGACAUACUGGCUCAUUACUGACGCUGAGGCUCGAAAGCGUGGGGAGC
RNAcentral lists this ribosomal RNA (247 nucleotides) under uncultured bacterium. Its description in RNAcentral is "partial 16S ribosomal RNA". It matches the Rfam family "Bacterial small subunit ribosomal RNA", at positions 523 to 769 of the family's 1533-position model. The record is from RNAcentral.